Molecule: ribosomal RNA, 348 nt
Filed under: uncultured bacterium
Lineage: Bacteria
Description: bacterial SSU rRNA
Rfam family: Bacterial small subunit ribosomal RNA
Source: RNAcentral
AGAGUUCGAUUAUGGCUCAGGAUGAACGCUGGCGGCGUGCUUAACACAUGCAAGUCGAACGAAGCACUUUAUUUGAUUUCCUUCGGGACUGAUUAUUUUGUGACUGAGUGGCGGACGGGUGAGUAACGCGUGAGUAACCUGCCCUGGAGUGGGGGACAACAGUUGGAAACGACUGCUAAUACCGCAUAAGCCCACGGCCCGGCAUCGGGCUGAGGGAAAAGGAUUUAUUCGCUUCAGGAUAGACUCGCGUCCAAUUAGCUAGUUGGUGAGGUAACGGCCCACCAAGGCGACGAUUGGUAGCCGGACUGAGAGGUUGAACGGCCACAUUGGGACUGAGACACGGCCCAG